RNAcentral lists this ribosomal RNA (301 nucleotides) under uncultured bacterium. Its description in RNAcentral is "partial 16S ribosomal RNA". It matches the Rfam family "Bacterial small subunit ribosomal RNA", at positions 509 to 807 of the family's 1533-position model. The record is from RNAcentral.
CAGCCGCCGCGGUAAUACGUAGGUGGCGAGCGUUGUCCGGAUUUAUUGGGCGUAAAGGGAGUGUAGGCGGUCUUUUAAGUCUGAUGUGAAAGCCCACGGCUCAACCGUGGAGGGCCAUUGGAAACUGGGAGACUUGAGUGCAGAAGAGGAGAGCGGAAUUCCAUGUGUAGCGGUGAAAUGCGUAGAUAUAUGGAGGAACACCAGUGGCGAAGGCGGCUCUCUGGUCUGUAACUGACGCUGAGGCUCGAAAGCGUGGGGAGCAAACAGGAUUAGAUACCCGCGUAGUCCCUGUCUCUUAUAC